This 29-nucleotide non-coding RNA is filed under the name Rattus norvegicus (Norway rat). The record is from RNAcentral. Lineage: Eukaryota; Metazoa; Chordata; Mammalia; Rodentia; Muridae.
UGGCACAUGAGCUGAUGCCUGUGGCAGGA